AUGCUAACCUCGCUGAGGACAUUGAUUGUAAAAGAAUCAGUUGGUCUAGUUGGACCACUAGGAGGAUGUCAGAGUGAUGUGGAAUGGCAGCUCCCUGUUGAGUAUAUCAAGAUCUACAAAUUAAAUGGUAAUACUGGCAAGGAACUGACAGAGCUCCUCCCCCACCUCCCAAAGCUCUCCAAAUUGGUAAUAUGGUGGUGUAAAAGCAUAAAAAAGCUGGUGGUGGGGGUGGAUGUGCAACAAACAACACAAGAAGCAUCAGAGAUGGGGGGAGGUGAAAUAACAGCAGCAGCAGAGGAAGAGGAUGAUGGGGUGCUGCUCCUCCCAGCUCAUCUCUGUGACUCACUACGGGAAUUGUGGUUCAAUUACUGCCCAGAGCUGGUCCUGGUUGACCCUCCAACUCUUGUUCCUGGUGGAGGAUGGCUCCAAGCCUUGCGAUCCCUCCAGAGAUUAACAAUACGGUGGUCCCCAAAGUUUCUAUCCACCUUCUCCUUUUCCCGUCACCUUUUUCCUUCCUCCCUGCAGUUCCUGGAGCUUGUGGGUGUGCAAGGUAUGGGAACACUGGAGCCCCUCUCAAACCUCUCCUCUCUUAUUAGAUUAGAAUUGGGUAAUUGUGGAGAGGAUCUGAAAUGUCAGGUCUUGUGGUCUCUCAUUACCACCGGCGGCCAACUCAAGGAAUUAGAAGUCAGGGGCAGCCAUAGAUUUUUUGCUGAUUGGGAUCCCAAUCCCAGACGGGCUUUGGAGGAUGCUGAGGGAGGUGAAGAGCAGCAGACACAGAUUGUUUCAUCCACACUGCAUGAGCUCGGGACAGAUGACAUAGCAGGAUUUCUUGCUGCACCCGUCUGUAGAUUCCUCUCUUCCUCCCUCACCAAGCUGAAACUUCGAGGGAAUUGGUGUGAAGGGAUGGAGCGGUUCAGCAAGGAGCAAGAGGAUGCCCUUCAACUCCUCUCCUCCCUCCAGGAACUUGACUUUUCAUGUUUCAAGGACCUUCACCAACUCCCUGCAGGGAUGAGCAACCUUACCAGCCUCAAGAAAUUAACAAUCUAUGAAUGUCCAGCCCUCUCAUCAUUGCCCAAGGAUGGCCUCCCCAAAUCA
Molecule: ribosomal RNA, 1095 nt
Filed under: Triticum aestivum (bread wheat)
Lineage: Eukaryota; Viridiplantae; Streptophyta; Magnoliopsida; Poales; Poaceae
Description: partial small subunit ribosomal RNA
Source: RNAcentral